GCCAAUUCAUAAACUUUUUUGAAGGUGGGAGGGUCCCUUUAAUCGUAUUUGUGUUAAUUAACGUAUUCUGUCAAAUACCGGUGUCCUACUUUGGUGCCGUCCAUUCUUAAAAUCAUCAGUUCACUUGCAGACGAUGAUUAGAAGCUUUGCUUCCAAUGGAAUGCACGAAGCAAUGACUGCAUAAUGCAUUCUUUGUUUUAAAAACAAAACUGUGCAAUAAAAUUUGCACAAAACUUGUUCGAUAUCUAAUCUACCUUUGGUGGCUUCAGCUUACCUGACAGUUCAUUUAUGUAUCCACAUUGCUAGGAAGCAUAUCAUCCGUCUAAUCCAAACAUAAACUAUUCUCGUUGUUGAAACUGGUGACGCACAAGCUGACGUAACGUUAGUGGAGACUUCAUCUAAAAAAACAGCCUGCAUGGGCUAAAAUCCCGGGGGGCGCGUAUGGCUCGUAUCAUUUGCGAGGCACGCGACGGGAGCCUUGAGGAGCUUUCCAUGCUAGAGCGCCUCUAAACCCAGGUCUCACUUGGAGAUCGAUCUCACUCGGAGAUCACGAGUCUGUUGUAGAGUGGCGUCAUUUUACGUCCAGUCCACCGAACCAGUGUGCACAAUUGCUGGCGGUGGAUACCAGACUCCCCCCACGGGUCGUCAUGUGCGAGGCAAGGUCGGGGAUAAGAUAUCACGGCAGCAAUUGAAGAUAAAAUUGAGUUUAUUCAUGUAAAUGCUAUUAGGCUGCUACAUUUGCACAAUGAGUGAGUGCAAAGCUUCUCUUUAAUUGAUAUUUAUCAUUAUCCAAGCAGACUAUUGCCUGAUACGUCUGAGUCUACAUUCACUUCAUCCAGGAAAAUGCUUCAAAAUCGCGUUUUUCGUCGGUAAAUAGCAUUGCAACCUUGCGUCAGUUGACACAAGCUUUCACUGCCGCAUCCGGAAUCUCAGUGCAUAGCUGUCUAUGCAUCAUGAGCUUAGGUAUUGUUUCCUUUUUCGUUAGAUCAUGCUUCAACUUGUAGCGCUUAAUCGCUCAUGCCACAACAAAGUUUGCGGACUUGUUAAAGGUUAAAAGAAAAUAUAUUUCCUUCAACAGAUGUCCGUCAAAUGAGGCUACAAAUGAGCUGUUUUCUUCUGCCAAUUAUGUUACUAUAGCACGUUGCUAAUGGAAGGCGGUCAUUUGCAUUUGCAGUUGUGCCUCAUCAUCACUUAUUUGCCAAACGCAAUUUCAAUUGCUGCUGUUAUCCCCGGCUAUAGUGUCUACGGUGGCGAGCUUUCUCCGCGGACCUUCAACUUCAAGACCUUCUACUUCAAGACCUUCAACUUCUAGACAACUAAAGGGAUAUUCUCGUCAUACUGUACUCUCGAUGACCUGCAUGUCGGGCGUGCCAUGUCCUGAGGAGCGUUGUUUUCAAUACCCUCAGUGCACAUACUGCACCAGACUAUAUUUACGGACGUUGACUGUUUGUUUUAGGCACUGUUUCAAGCAUUGUACGAUGGCCGAAAACAAAAGUAUUUGUUAAGGUUUUAAGUGCCAUUCGGAAUAUCCGAAACUACGACGCAAUGUUAGUCGGAAAUAACGUAUAUAGUUAAUCAUGUUAUCGCAUGAUGUUCUUGUUCAUUGGCAAACAUUAUUUCAGCAGUCGAUACGUCCUCCAAACUUCAGUAACUGUUACUAUAUAGUCCCCGUUCGUCACAAACAACCGUUGACAUUUCGUCAACCUCAAAUUCGAAUAUAUUAACCGUUUACACGCACGAGAAUAUCCCUUUAUCCAAACUAGCAAGUGUGUCUACUGUUUUCUUACUAGGCAAACAAAAGUUUGUCACAGCAUGUGCGCAGUUCACUUUACCUAUGUGCAUUCAUACUAAAAGCCAUUCGUCCACAAGCAAGUUAUUUAUUUGCGCUAUUGACGUAAGCUUUCAUGAAGGCCAAACCAAUGCUGAUUCGUCAAUGCUGAUUGUCAGCUUGAAAGUAAAGAUGAGCAAAGUGGUUCAACUGAAUCUUAUGGUUGCAGUAGGGCAUAUUAGAAGUAAGUGACAAGUAUGUGUCAGCAAUUGCUUAUGCUUCUUAACCCUAGAUACUUUUGAUUCGAUCCUUUUAGGUGAUGACGUAAUGUGGCAGAAAACAGUAGACACACUUCAUCUCAUCGGAAACCCUGAAUGAUUGGUAUUUGUGAGCAUGUGUGCCUGUGAGUGUGUAAGGGUGGAUGUGGGUGUGUGGGUAUGUAUGUGCGUAUGUGAGGAUGUGCGUGUCAUCUUACAAGUAAUUUAGUGAAUGAGUGCAUAGGUACUAGUUUUCAAGUAAAUACGUGCAUGAGUGCAUGUAGUCAGUGGUGUAUGGAACUCGCAUUGUGCCUGCCUGCUGCCAACGAAAUAUGCAAGCCCACACAGAGAAAACAGUUUUGUUGUGCGAAACUUCAUGCUGCUGGCAGGGUUUACAUGCAAGUCACAUAUUGUAGGUCUACCAUAAGCAGAGCGAUGUGACAUCUGAUAAGUAACUCACAGCAACACAUACUCUACAUGUCCAGGGAAAGUGAGUUGUGCUCGGAACAGAUUGGCCAGACAGUUUUGUCCUAUCAAAUUCAGAAUUGUUUCAUCCUCCUCACAGUUGCCACUAACAUCAUGAGCACACAUUAUUGCUAGAUCUGAAUGCCAGCUGCCUAUUGCACCGCUGGCACGUAGUUGGAGACAAAGGUGCCGCCAGUUUUCCACCUCGCUGCUGAUACAAUGCAAUACUGCUACAAAAUGUCCGUGUUCUGUGUUUUUAGUGUUGUAUGUUUGUAUAUGAGUUUUGCGUCGUGUGAACAUUACCUACAUGAGUUUAAAGUGUUCCCGCGAAAGUAGGUACUGAAUUAGCUCAAGCCAGCAUUGCGUUGCGGAUAUAUUUGUAGGCCAUACAAUGUUUUAUGGCGUCAUUUACGACACUUUCCUGUUUUUCUUGUCGUUGUAUGCACGUGAGUUGUGCCGCAUGUUGCGCUUGCAAAUCAUGUUCUCAAUGUCAUUUUCUUUUGGUACAAUUGGUCACCACUACACAUCACUCGCAUACACUCGCCCAAGCAAGUCGGAUAUCAAUCACUGUCCAGAAGUGCAUGAUGCAUUCAACCACGCAUAGAACACUGGCACACCAAGAACAUGAACUCACGCAAAAACGAGAGGGCUAUCACACGACUUCGCAUUGGACACACCGCUAUCACACACAACUACAUCAUCACAAGAAGCCCGAGACCGAAAUGCAACACCUGCAACACUUUCAUCACUGUCAAACAUCUGCUACUCACAUGUCCACAAUACCAACACCACAGGACACACAUACAAACAUACUGCAGAGACGCCAACAUCCCACUAACACUCACAACACUGCUCGGGGACUUACACCCCGAGCUAACAACACUACUCAUCCACUAAAGACACAACACUGGGCUGAUCAAUGACCUGUAAAUCUCCUCCCCUAGAGCCAAGGACAAAAAAGCCAAAAAAGCCAAAAAAGAAGCCAAAAAGAAAAAACAAUAUUCAAAACAAUGAGAAUCAAAAUAAAAGACCCCAGAAUGGCAAAAUGGCAAAAAAAAAAACAAAAAAAAUAAUAAUAGAAGGGGCAAUCCGGCUACCCGGGAGGAGAUAGCUAGGAACCCAGUCCCACCCCUCAGCCCACCCUUACGAGCCAAGAAGACGACGGACACUUCAAGACAACGGACGGACCAACAACGAAGACGGACGACAGAACCGGGCCCAAAUACAGGACGCUGUGGUGGCCCGUAAGCUACAAAUACCAUACCAUACCAUACCAGUGCAUCAUGCAGCAGAAGAAGCUUCAUUGAACACACUCGUCAUCAUGAACGGCAUCUAGGAGCUUCAUGAGUUUGGAUCUGUGACCAGUUGUUUUCGCAGUAUUCAAUAGCAACCGUGUAUGACCAGGCGCCGCUUGGACGCCUUGUCCAGCCACGUCUUCCGGGACUGUGUGAUGACUGCCUCUGCAAUCUCAAGUGCCAGUUUCUGCCUCCGGCCUAUUUCUUUAUCAAAGGAUGUUGGUAACUGAACGACCAGCUCUGCUCCAAGAUUCCAAAUCGCUUUACGGUAUUGUAUGCCUACAAAACGUUAAUAUUUGCUGGACGCGUUGAUGCCCGAAUAGGAUGACCUUUAUUCCUAGUUACUGGCAUUCAACGUUGAAUCAAUUACGCUUCUAGCCUUCUGUUUAUUGGCUUUACGUACUUUUUAUUAAUAUUUAUCGUGUGUCUAGCCUGCAAUUCAUUUUACUCACCACCAUCGGAUGUCACAACUAUACUCUUGUAACUACUAUAUACAACUAUAAGCUAUAAGCAACUAUUCGCUGACUUGACAUAUGAUAUUUUCGCGACGACUCGUUUCGCCCUUCCGCCAUGUUAACUAAUCAUCCGUUACAUCUUUAUGUCAACAGGUAUAGUACAAGUCAUCCUUACCGUCGAUACCGUAGAAGAUUUUGCCGUCGACCACGGAACACAUAUUGUACUUCCCGUUGCUGGCUGAUUUCGCAGUAUCCAAUGGCAACGUGUAUGACCAGGCGCCGCUUGGACGCCUUGUCCAGUCACGUCUUCUGGGACUGUGUGAUGACUGCCUCUGCACUCUCAAGUGCCAGUUUCUGCCUCCGGCCUAUUUAUUUAUCAAAGGAUGCUGUUAGCUGAACGAACAGCUCUGCUCCAAGAUUCCAAACGUUUUUACGGUGCAUUACCAGUCGUCUUUACCGUCGAUACCGUUGAAGAUUUUACCGUCGAUCAGGGAGCACCCAUUGCGCUGGCCGUUGCUGGCACUUUUUUAUUUGUCACUAGCUAUUAGUUAUCUGCAGAUAUACAUUGGCCACCUGUGCACCCGCUUACACAAGCUCUCAUCAUCUAGUUCUACGUAUGUCUGUGUUUGUUUUAAUUGAAUUGCCAAUGAAUUCGGUAGACAUGCUCCGCCCGCAAACAUGUACCACAUGAUGCAGUCCACUGAAUGUAGCAGUUAAUCACUCGUAAAAAGCAGUCAUGUUUUCGUAAUAGUGUAGGUUUGCAUCUAUGUAAGCAUGUGUUCACACUCAUGAGCGAUCCACACAUGAUAUUGCAUUUCCUGCUCAGUUGCAUUUUUAGCACUGGAACACGAUGCUCAUACACUGCGUUCUUAUCUUUCUUUUUUUUUCGCCUGCUCCUUCCUCCAACUUGUGUCUUUGAGUAUUUCAGUCACAUGCUCAAACGUUCUAAAUGUUCUCGCCAUCGGUUUACGCAUGCGUUGAAAAC
Molecule: long non-coding RNA, 5225 nt
Filed under: Amphibalanus amphitrite
Lineage: Eukaryota; Metazoa; Arthropoda; Thecostraca; Balanomorpha; Balanidae
Description: uncharacterized LOC122386893, transcript variant X1
Source: RNAcentral